CAGUCGCCACGGUAACACGAAGGGGGCUAGCGUUGUUCGGAAUUACUGGGCGUAAAGGGCGCGUAGGCGGCCAUUCAAGUUAGAUGUGAAAGCCCUGGGCUCAACCUAGGAAUUGCAUUUGAUACUGUUUGGCUUGAGUUCGGGAGAGGUGAGUGGAAUUCCCAGUGUAGAGGUGAAAUUCGUAGAUAUUGGGAAGAACACCAGUGGCGAAGGCGGCUCACUGGACCGACACUGACGCUGAGGCGCGAAAGCGUGGGGAGCAAACAGGAUUAGAUACCCCGGUAGUCCCUGUCUCUUAUAC
RNAcentral lists this ribosomal RNA (301 nucleotides) under uncultured bacterium. Its description in RNAcentral is "partial 16S ribosomal RNA". It matches the Rfam family "Bacterial small subunit ribosomal RNA", at positions 509 to 807 of the family's 1533-position model. The record is from RNAcentral.